RNAcentral lists this ribosomal RNA (826 nucleotides) under uncultured Gemmatimonas sp. RNAcentral describes it as "bacterial SSU rRNA". It matches the Rfam family "Bacterial small subunit ribosomal RNA", at positions 56 to 891 of the family's 1533-position model. Lineage: Bacteria; Pseudomonadati; Gemmatimonadota; Gemmatimonadia; Gemmatimonadales; Gemmatimonadaceae. The record is from RNAcentral.
UGCAAGUCAAGGGGGCCCGCAAGGGCAACCGGCGAACGGGUGCGUAACACGUGAGCAACCUGCCUUCGAGUGGGGGAUAGCCGGCCCAACGGCCGGGUAAUACCGCAUACGCUUAUCGUCUGGCAUCGGAUGAUGAGGAAACGUUUACGGCUCGGAGAGGGGCUCGCGGCCUAUCAGCUAGUUGGUGCGGUCACGGCGUACCAAGGCGACGACGGGUAGCUGGUCUGAGAGGAUGGCCAGCCACAUUGGGACUGAGAAACGGCCCAGACUCCUACGGGAGGCAGCAGUGGGGAAUCUUGCGCAAUGGCCGAGAGGCUGACGCAGCGACGCCGCGUGGGGGAUGAAGCAUUUCGGUGUGUAAACCCCUGUUGCUCGGGACGAACGAUCCUUUUCGAGGGAUGUGACGGUACCGAGUGAGGAAGCACCGGCUAACUCCGUGCCAGCAGCCGCGGUAAUACGGAGGGUGCGAGCGUUGUCCGGAAUCACUGGGCGUAAAGGGCGCGUAGGUGGUUAGAUGCGCCGGUGGUGAAAGCGCAGGGCUCAACCCUGCGUCGGCCAUCGGGACGGUCUGACUGGAGCACUGUAGAGGCAGGUGGAAUUCCGGGUGUAGCGGUGGAAUGCGUAGAGAUCCGGAAGAACACCGGUGGCGAAGGCGGCCUGCUGGGCCAGUGGCUGACCACUGAAGGCGCGACAGCGUGGGGAGCAAACAGGAUUAGAUACCCUGGUAGUCCACGCCGUAAACGAUGGGCACUAGGUGCUGGGGGAACCGACCCCCUGGAUGCCCACCUAACGCAUUAAGUGCCCCGCCCGGGGAGUACGACCGCAG